This 253-nucleotide ribosomal RNA is filed under the name uncultured bacterium. RNAcentral describes it as "partial 16S ribosomal RNA". It matches the Rfam family "Bacterial small subunit ribosomal RNA", at positions 524 to 776 of the family's 1533-position model. The record is from RNAcentral.
GACAGAGGAUGCAAGCGUUAUCCGGAAUGAUUGGGCGUAAAGCGUCUGUAGGUGGCUUUUUAAGUCCGCCGUCAAAUCCCAGGGCUCAACCCUGGACAGGCGGUGGAAACUACCAAGCUGGAGUACGGUAGGGGCAGAGGGAAUUUCCGGUGGAGCGGUGAAAUGCGUAGAGAUCGGAAAGAACACCAACGGCGAAAGCACUUUACUGGGCUAUCACUGACACUGAGAGACGAAAGCUAGGGUAGCAAAUGGG